This 492-nucleotide ribosomal RNA is filed under the name uncultured bacterium. RNAcentral describes it as "partial 16S ribosomal RNA". It matches the Rfam family "Bacterial small subunit ribosomal RNA", at positions 28 to 507 of the family's 1533-position model. The record is from RNAcentral.
GAUGAACGCUAGCUACAGGCUUAACACAUGCAAGUCGAGGGGAAACGACAUCGAAAGCUUGCUUUUGAUGGGCGUCGACCGGCGCACGGGUGAGUAACGCGUAUCCAACCUGCCCAUCACUUGGGAAUAACCUUGCGAAAGUAAGACUAAUACCCAAUGACAUCCCACGAAGACAUCUGAAUGGGAUUAAAGAUUUAUCGGUGAUGGAUGGGGAUGCGUCCGAUUAGCUUGUUGGCGGGGUAACGGCCCACCAAGGCAACGAUCAGUAGGGGUUCUGAGAGGAAGGUCCCCCACAUUGGAACUGAGACACGGUCCAAACUCCUACGGGAGGCAGCAGUGAGGAAUAUUGGGCAAUGGGCGAGAGCCUGAACCAGCCAAGUAGCGUGCAGGAUGACGGCCCUAUGGGUUGUAAACUGCUUUUAUAAGGGAAUAAAGUGGGUCUCGUGAGACUUUUUGCAUGUACCUUAUGAAUAAGGACCGGCUAAUUCCGUG